This 495-nucleotide ribosomal RNA is filed under the name uncultured bacterium. RNAcentral's name for it is "partial 16S ribosomal RNA". It matches the Rfam family "Bacterial small subunit ribosomal RNA", at positions 28 to 507 of the family's 1533-position model. The record is from RNAcentral.
GACGAACGCUGGCGGCGUGCCUAAUACAUGCAAGUAGAACGCUGAAGGAGGAGCUUGCUUCUCCGGAUGAGUUGCGAACGGGUGAGUAACGCGUAGGUAACCUGCCUGGUAGCGGGGGAUAACUAUUGGAAACGAUAGCUAAUACCGCAUAACAGUAGAUAUUGCAUGAUAUCUGCUUGAAAGGUGCAAUUGCAUCACUACCAGAUGGACCUGCGUUGUAUUAGCUAGUUGGUGAGGUAACGGCUCACCAAGGCGACGAUACAUAGCCGACCUGAGAGGGUGAUCGGCCACACUGGGACUGAGACACGGCCCAGACUCCUACGGGAGGCAGCAGUAGGGAAUCUUCGGCAAUGGACGGAAGUCUGACCGAGCAACGCCGCGUGAGUGAAGAAGGUUUUCGGAUCGUAAAGCUCUGUUGUAAGAGAAGAACGAGUGUGAGAGUGGAAAGUUCACACUGUGACGGUAUCUUACCAGAAAGGGACGGCUAACUACGUG